AUGCGUACUCAUCCCAAGGCAAGAAAGAUUCAUCCUUCUCGAAUCAUUACCAAUCGGUGGUUCUUUGUGCACAACUUGUUCCCAUACCCUGAAGCAAGCGUGUACCCGCCACCGAGCUCAAAUGGCUACCAGACCCACCUUGGCGAAGAGAACCCUUCCUAUAACUGGGCAGGGCAACCGGCUCCAUCUGAUCGUGGACCUCACUUGUACAGCUACCAAGAUGAUCCUGACUGCCUCACCUUCCUGAGAGGAUGUGUUGCUACUACUGACUGCUACUACGAUUACCUGCUGAGACGUGUGUCUAGCCUUCUCCCCUUGGGUGAUUCCCGGGUACUCAAGUUGAACAACUUUGCUUGUGCCUGA
Molecule: ribosomal RNA, 363 nt
Filed under: Triticum aestivum (bread wheat)
Lineage: Eukaryota; Viridiplantae; Streptophyta; Magnoliopsida; Poales; Poaceae
Description: partial small subunit ribosomal RNA
Source: RNAcentral